This 878-nucleotide unclassified non-coding RNA is filed under the name Hevea brasiliensis (rubber tree). The record is from RNAcentral. Lineage: Eukaryota; Viridiplantae; Streptophyta; Magnoliopsida; Malpighiales; Euphorbiaceae.
AGCAAUCAACAAAAUCCAUCAUCUGCAAAGGACAUAACUGCUAUUAGACAUUAUUCAACCCAAGCAUGCCAGUAAGUGAAAAGAUAUAAGAAACAUAAUUCCCCUCUGCCAAAUCUCCACAUUUUGAUAACAUCCAAUAAGAUGAACUGGGUUUGUUUUGCAAGAUAAAUUAACAAGCACAUUUCAUUAAAAGAAUGAAACAUCGUCCAUUUCAUUUGCGCCCCCUUGGCAACAAUUCUACUCACAUAAAAGUUGAUUAUAAUGAACUUUUUAAGAUUGAUCAUAUUUAACAGUUGAAUCUAUUUUCUGUCCCAUUGAAGUAUCCAAUCCAAAGAAAAUCCAAGUGAAGGAAAAGAAAUUCUAAAAUUUAAGGAACUCAAAGUUUAAAUUUUCAAAGAAAGAAAAACAGGUUUGCUAUUUUCAUGAAGUCAAAUUAUAUUGGAGUUUAUGGUUAAUAUUUAUAGCAUUUUAUUAGCAUUUAGUCUCUUUUAUGUUUGUUUUUAAGCCUUUAGUAAUAUUUUAGAAAACUUGUUAAUUCAAUCCAAUUCUUUGAUUUUAUAUUUUAUCAAGUGUUUUUGUGCAGUUUUAGAGCCUAGAACAAGUUUGGAAGAAAUCAGGAGGUUAAAAAGUGAAGAAUGGAAGGUCUGAAUAAUUAUAUGGGCCAUAGAACCUACCCCGUAUAACCUCAUGGACCCCGUGCAAUCUUCUAGACAGAAUAAAACUUGAAAAAUAAAGCUACAAAGCAUUACACGGGGUACCUAGUAACACUACACGGCCCAUGUAAUGUUCCCAGACAGCAAUUCUAACUCAAUUUUCUUCCUUCUAACUCUAUUUGGAUGGACAUCUAAGGCUAUUAGAACUCUAAAAUAAGAAUUUUU